This 541-nucleotide ribosomal RNA is filed under the name Bifidobacterium pseudocatenulatum. RNAcentral describes it as "bacterial SSU rRNA". It matches the Rfam family "Bacterial small subunit ribosomal RNA", at positions 147 to 700 of the family's 1533-position model. Lineage: Bacteria; Bacillati; Actinomycetota; Actinomycetes; Bifidobacteriales; Bifidobacteriaceae. The record is from RNAcentral.
CUCCUGGAAACGGGUGGUAAUGCCGGAUGCUCCGACUCCUCGCAUGGGGUGUCGGGAAAGAUUUCAUCGGUAUGGGAUGGGGUCGCGUCCUAUCAGGUAGUCGGCGGGGUAACGGCCCACCGAGCCUACGACGGGUAGCCGGCCUGAGAGGGCGACCGGCCACAUUGGGACUGAGAUACGGCCCAGACUCCUACGGGAGGCAGCAGUGGGGAAUAUUGCACAAUGGGCGCAAGCCUGAUGCAGCGACGCCGCGUGCGGGAUGACGGCCUUCGGGUUGUAAACCGCUUUUGAUCGGGAGCAAGCCUUCGGGUGAGUGUACCUUUCGAAUAAGCACCGGCUAACUACGUGCCAGCAGCCGCGGUAAUACGUAGGGUGCAAGCGUUAUCCGGAAUUAUUGGGCGUAAAGGGCUCGUAGGCGGUUCGUCGCGUCCGGUGUGAAAGUCCAUCGCUUAACGGUGGAUCUGCGCCGGGUACGGGCGGGCUGGAGUGCGGUAGGGGAGACUGGAAUUCCCGGUGUAACGGUGGAAUGUGUAGAUAUCGG